UGCCAAAUUUUCCUUAUGAUGUGCAAUCGAGUUUAUUUUAUUUUAUUUUAUUGUUGACUAAUAUAAUAACAACAAUUCAUUUUAAUGAACGAAUUGAUGAAUUCAAGUGAGAUGCAAACAACGGAUUAACACCAUAUGUAGCAAAUGCUAAUUAUGCAAAACAAGGAUGGAAGCAAAAAAACUUAAAGAUAAUAGAUUUACUAGGAGCCUAAGCUAUGACACCAAAUUAUGCGAAACUCAAGACCAACAUUGUGAUAAAAAAAUCCCAUAUAUAACAUCAACAUGUAAAAAUCUUAAAUUCCGACUUGACCCAAACUCAACUUGUGAAAGCACACCAAGGUAACU
RNAcentral lists this long non-coding RNA (345 nucleotides) under Carica papaya (papaya). RNAcentral describes it as "long non-coding RNA (CPAP_LNC002784)". Lineage: Eukaryota; Viridiplantae; Streptophyta; Magnoliopsida; Brassicales; Caricaceae. The record is from RNAcentral.